ACGGAAGGCAGCAGUGGGGAAUAUUGGGCAAUGGGGGAAACCCCGACCCAGCAACGCCGCGUGAAGGAAGAAGGCCUUCGGGUUGUAAACUUCUUUUACCAGGGACGAUAAUGACGGUACCUGGAGAAAAAGCAACGGCUAACUACGUGCCAGCAGCCGCGGUAAUACGUAGGUUGCAAGCGUUGUCCGGAUUUACUGGGUGUAAAGGGCGUGUAGGCGGAGCUGCAAGUCAGAUGUGAAAUCCCGGGGCUCAACCCCGGAACUGCAUUUGAAACUGUAGCCCUUGAGUAUCGGAGAGGCAAGCGGAAUUCCUAGUGUAGCGGUGAAAUGCGUAGAUAUUAGGAGGAACACCAGUGGCGAAGGCGGCUUGCUGGACGACAACUGACGCUGAGGCGCGAAAGCGUGGGGAGCAAACAGGAUUAGAUACCCUGGUA
RNAcentral lists this ribosomal RNA (434 nucleotides) under uncultured Oscillospiraceae bacterium. RNAcentral describes it as "partial 16S ribosomal RNA". It matches the Rfam family "Bacterial small subunit ribosomal RNA", at positions 341 to 792 of the family's 1533-position model. Lineage: Bacteria; Bacillati; Bacillota; Clostridia; Eubacteriales; Oscillospiraceae. The record is from RNAcentral.